Small nuclear RNA from Lathyrus oleraceus (garden pea), 190 nucleotides. RefSeq annotates it as U2 spliceosomal RNA. The record is from RefSeq and is a predicted model, not a curated record. The transcript has a single exon. Lineage: Eukaryota; Viridiplantae; Streptophyta; Magnoliopsida; Fabales; Fabaceae.
AUAAAGUCAUGGCAUGAUUAAGAUUAAGUUUAGCAUCCGCUCUUAUCAAUUUAAUAUAUGAUAUGUGCGUCGAUGGUCCACACCAUAUUAAAUAUUAUAUUUUUUUUAGGGGGGAGUUCACUAGAGUAGCUUUCUAUUGAGUUUCUUACUUGUCACUCUUGCAUUGUGCUAGUGUAAAAAAAAAAAUCAU